UAUGACCUUGGACAAAUCACCUUAAUCUCAAUUUAUUGUCAGUUCCCAGGUCUUGCUAUGGGCUUACUAAGCGAGCUAACAAAGUUACAGUGACUAUUACCUUCUGCUAGAUCUGGAUGGGAGGCAUCACUGUUACUUGCACAACCCUGUGUUCUGAAUAUAAAAUGAUUUUCUUUGCAGCACUACGCAGCUCAAUCACAGUAAGCUCCCUUUGCAUCCACUAAUACAGCUCGAUACAGGGCAGUGUACAAUAACUGUAUCCUAGGCACAAAGCAUGAGUUUCAUUGUUUUUAACAAUAAUACAGAAACCUUUCUGUUUGUUUCCAAAGUUCAAAUAGCAGCAGUGGUAUGAAACAGCUUUGUCUUGGAGAAACAUGUGGUGCAUUGAUAUGCAAAUAAGUACACCCUGUGCUUCAGCAAGUGCCAAGAAGAGGCCAGAAGUGUGCCAAACAUUUUCAGAAAUGUGGAAAAACAUCAUUCUCUGGACAGAAUACUGA
Molecule: long non-coding RNA, 497 nt
Filed under: Dromaius novaehollandiae (emu)
Lineage: Eukaryota; Metazoa; Chordata; Aves; Casuariiformes; Dromaiidae
Description: lncRNA (ENSDNVG00000010946.1)
Source: RNAcentral